Molecule: long non-coding RNA, 1541 nt
Organism: Triticum dicoccoides
Lineage: Eukaryota; Viridiplantae; Streptophyta; Magnoliopsida; Poales; Poaceae
Exons: 4
Source: RefSeq, a predicted model, not a curated record
CGUGCAGCGACAGAGAUGCCCUUUAAGCGAUGGGUGGCCUGUUUGGGCAGUCGACCUACACACCGUCCAGGGGCGAGCGCCGCUUCUUGCCAUGGACGGCAUGGAGUUCUUCUUCAAGGAAUCUGGAGCAGAUCUGGCUGGCUCUCGAUUGCCUGUGCAGGCUCGUACGGCGUUUGGACGGAGGGGUUGUCUAUAGAGAGCUAGUUGUCGGCGCGCAACUGACUAAGGGCGGCACGAGUGGAACUGCUGAUGCGGGCGAGGAGUUGAUUUCUUCUCUGCCAUUGGGACGAGCUGGAGGCCACAUGGAUUACGAAGGGGGAGGAGAGACCGACAAAGGGAUGGGCGAUUCAUGCGACACGGGAGCUGCAAACAUAGCGUGUGUUGCCGCGGACCAGGAUGCAGACGAAAAGGGCGUGGGAGUAUCCAAUACAGAUCAAUCUUGUUGGACCAGGAGGGCGGGAUUGUCCUGAAGCAAAUAUCCCAAUUGAGGUGCAUGCCUCACAGGUUUAUACCAGGACAAUGUUUGAGAAAGUUGGUGAAGCACUGUAUGAAUGUGGGUGUAUGAUCUCAUGGAAGUCAGGCCAUGCUUGGAGUACAUUGCUAGGCACAUCAAGUUCCAGUCAAGGGAAAAAUGGUGCAAGAAUGAGUUUGUGAUCUCCGCGAGUGAGACAGCUGAUGAGUUCAGGAGUGUGGAACAUUUGAGCACUAUGUCAUGAUACACCUAAAACUACAUGAGCUCCCUGCGAAACAUGUAUCGAAGCGAUGGACUAGAGCUGCAAGAGAUAUACUACCACCGGAGUAUUUGCGCUACCAAAAGGAUCGUGAGCCGCUGAAGUAUUCUUCUCGUCGACACAACACUUUGUACCUGUUGGCACUCGAUAUCGUUAAGUUAGGCGACAGUAAUGUGGAAGCGUAUGCACUUGCUAUGGAGAAAAUGCGAGAUGUCAAAGUGUUGGUCGAGCCAGUUUCCGCCGUGAGGGAUGGGCUUGGUUUGUUUGAUAGAGAGCUGGCAGCAGAUUCAGCUGGCUUUGGCGUUGGUAACAAGCACCACUUUGGCCGAACCGAGUCUGAACACACCAUUUCGCAAGGAUCAGAUGUAUUCCCAGCACCGUCGAGGAAACGACCGGCUGGGUGUCCAACAACCAGUCGUGACAAGGCUCCAUAUGAACAACCAUCAAAGAGAAGUAGAUUAUGUUCUAUAUGCAUAAUUUAGGGACACAAGAGCACAACAUGCCCAGCCAGGGGAGAUCUGCCAAAGGCACCUAAGAAAUCUUCUCGCUGCUCAAGAUGUGGGUUAACAGGGCACAUGAAGAACACAUGCAGCAAUCCACCUAUGGUCUGGAAAAACUAGAUUUUAGUGUUGUUUCCUGAUACUAUGGAUUUGCUUAUGUGGCACUUUGUUAUUAGAAACCGUACCUUAUUUGUGUAAGGCAUAAAAAAAUGGUGUUUGUGCUUGUCUGAUACUAUGCAUUCUUGUGUGGGUAUGGUCAAAAACAUUAUUAGUUCCCAGAUGAACUUCGUUAUAUAUGCUCGUGUGUGUG